Molecule: ribosomal RNA, 572 nt
Filed under: Meyerozyma guilliermondii
Lineage: Eukaryota; Fungi; Ascomycota; Pichiomycetes; Serinales; Debaryomycetaceae
Description: eukaryotic LSU rRNA
Rfam family: Eukaryotic large subunit ribosomal RNA
Source: RNAcentral
CCAUGGCAUGCUUAGUAGCGGCGAGUGAAGCGGCAAAAGCUCAAAUUUGAAAUCUGGCACCUUCGGUGUCCGAGUUGUAAUUUGAAGAUUGUAACCUUGGGGUUGGCUCUUGUCUAUGUUUCUUGGAACAGGACGUCACAGAGGGUGAGAAUCCCGUGCGAUGAGAUGCCCAAUCCUAUGUAAGGUGCUUUCGAAGAGUCGAGUUGUUUGGGAAUGCAGCUCUAAGUGGGUGGUAAAUUCCAUCUAAAGCUAAAUAUUGGCGAGAGACCGAUAGCGAACAAGUACAGUGAUGGAAAGAUGAAAAGAACUUUGAAAAGAGAGUGAAAAAGUACGUGAAAUUGUUGAAAGGGAAGGGUUUGAGAUCAGACUCGAUAUUUUGUGAGCCUUGCCUUCGUGGCGGGGUGACCCGCAGCUUAUCGGGCCAGCAUCGGUUUGGGCGGUAGGAUAAUGGCGUAGGAAUGUGACUUUGCUUCGGUGAAGUGUUAUAGCCUGCGUUGAUGCUGCCUGCCUAGACCGAGGACUGCGAUUUUAUCAAGGAUGCUGGCAUAAUGAUCCCAAACCGCCCGUCUUAA